UUAGUAGCCCCAAGAAACUGAAACCCUCUAUUGAUAUGCAAAGAACAGAUUCAGCAUGGGCAGAAGCAACACUGCUCAAUCAACGGGCCUCAAACCUGAUCUAAAAGAAUAUCUCGAAGGGGCAAGAUAUUUGUUAAAUUUCCUUUCCAAUUAACUUGACAGCUCUG
This 167-nucleotide small RNA is filed under the name Chrysemys picta bellii (western painted turtle). Its description in RNAcentral is "TUC338 (ENSCPBG00000005561.1)". The record is from RNAcentral. Lineage: Eukaryota; Metazoa; Chordata; Testudines; Emydidae.